Molecule: ribosomal RNA, 468 nt
Filed under: uncultured bacterium
Lineage: Bacteria
Description: partial 16S ribosomal RNA
Rfam family: Bacterial small subunit ribosomal RNA
Source: RNAcentral
GACGAACGCUGGCGGCGUGCUUAACACAUGCAAGUCGAACGGAAAGGCCCUGCUUUUGUGGGGUGCUCGAGUGGCGAACGGGUGAGUAACACGUGAGUAACCUGCCCUUGACUUUGGGAUAACUUCAGGAAACUGGGGCUAAUACCGGAUAGGAGCUCCUGCUGCAUGGUGGGGGUUGGAAAGUUUCGGCGGUUGGGGAUGGACUCGCGGCUUAUCAGCUUGUUGGUGGGGUAGUGGCUUACCAAGGCUUUGACGGGUAGCCGGCCUGAGAGGGUGACCGGCCACAUGGGGACUGCGAGACGCCGCAGACUCCUACGGGAGGCAGCAGUGGGGAAUAUUGCACAAUGGGCGGAAGUCUGAUGCAGCAACGCCGCGUGCGGGAUGACGGCCUUCGGGUUGUAAACCGCUGUCGCCUGUGACGAAGCGUGAGUGACGGUAAUGGGUAAAGAAGCACCGGCUAACUACGUG